RNAcentral lists this ribosomal RNA (462 nucleotides) under uncultured archaeon. RNAcentral's name for it is "bacterial SSU rRNA". It matches the Rfam family "Archaeal small subunit ribosomal RNA", at positions 1 to 464 of the family's 1478-position model. The record is from RNAcentral.
UUUUCCGGUUGAUCCUGCCGGAGGCCAUUGCUAUUGGAGUCCGAUUUAGCCAUGCUAGUUGCACGAGUUCAGACUCGUAGCAGAUAGCUCAGUAACACGUGGCCAAACUACCCUCUGGAGCACGAUAACCUCGGGAAACUGAGGCUAAUAGUGCAUACGGCUCGCCGCCUGGAGUGGCGCGAGCCGGAAAGGCUCCGGCGCCAGAGGAUGUGGCUGCGGCCGAUUAGGUAGACGGUGGGGUAACGGCCCACCGUGCCAAUAAUCGGUACGGGUUGUGAGAGCAAGAGCCCGGAGACGGUAUCUGAGACAAGAUACCGGGCCCUACGGGGCGCAGCAGGCGCGAAACCUUUACACUGCACGCCAGUGCGAUACGGGGACUCCAAGUGCGAGGGCAUAACGUCCUCGCUUUUCUCGACCGUAAGGUGGUCGAGGAAUAAGGGCCGGGCAAGAAUCGAAUUCCCG